GUUGCCUUACACACUAUGCAAGCUUUGCUGUUUGCAGUAAAACUGGCUGCUGCUUGCUCUUUGGGUCCACACUGACUUUAUGAGCUGUAGCACUCACCAUGAAGGUUUGUAGCUUUACUCUUGAAGCCAGUGAGAUUAAAAACCCACCGGGAGGAACAAACAACUCCAGUACGCGCCGCCUUAGGAGCUGUAACACUCACGGCGAAGGUCUGCAGCUUCACUCCUGAGCCAGCCGCACCACGAACCUAUCAGAAGGAAGAAACUCCGAACACAUCCGAACGUCAGGAACAAACUCCGGCCACGCCGCCUUUAAGAACUGUAGAACUCGCUACAGCACUCACCGUGAAGGUCUGCGAUUUCAUUCUUGAAGUCAGUGAGACCAAGAACCCACCAAGUCCGGACACAAUGGGACCUGUAUGCAGUCUAUGGGGCAGUUCAGACCAAAGGGCUGGGCGUGGCACCACAGCUGCCCCGAGCCCUUGGCCUCUCUGAGCUUUUCUCUCUCACCUGAGAAAUGGGAUUUCAAGGAAAAUGAGUAGCGGUAACUUACCCACCUUACUCCACGGUUACUGUGAAGCGCCCAGAAGAGAAGCCAUGGAUGUGGGCGACGCAUUCGAGAGCACAGCGCUGGGCUCCAGCCCUGAUGCAGAGGUACAAAGCUCGUCUGGGCAGAUUGUUAUGCAAAUCAAAAGAGGAAGCAGAGCUAGGGGAGCCGAGGAGCUCCUGCUGGGCUCUGCCAGGGAAGAAGCCGCAGUAGGAGCCCCUACGUAGGCCCUGCAAGAGGCCUGGCGUUCAGGAAAGGGCCCGCUGACCAUCCAGUGCAGGGAAAGGAGUCCAGCUCUGGCCUCUGCCCCUCAGCUCCACCUCCUGCAUUCCUAGGAGUUCUCCAGAGGAUCUGAUGGGAGCUCAGAACCGGUCCCAACAGCUCCCUCCACCCUUCAUGAACGGGGGCUGGAAAAUGUGGUCUGCUCUGAUAAGGAUUUGCGUCAGGCUACUGGCUACUCAGCAGCCGAGAAGAGCAAGCCUCCAGGCCUCUGCACGCGUGCCUUCUGCCCGGUGAGCCUCUCACUAUCGUCCUUCUAAAAGACACUUCAAAAAGAGGCAAAAUCAUGCCUUCCAUACAUAUAUUAAAAAAAGAAUAUGUGUCAAAUAUUUUAUUCUACUCCUAAACCAAUUUAAGGAAACCAGGCAGAUGUUACAACUGGUUCAAAUGAAAUCCUAAGAACAGACACAUUUAAUAAUCAGGAAUAUGGAAAAGAACAUGCAAAUGGGAGCUGGGCACAGCGGCUCAUGCCUGUAAUUCCAGCACUUUGGGAGGCCGAGGUGGGUGGA
RNAcentral lists this long non-coding RNA (1332 nucleotides) under Homo sapiens (human). RNAcentral describes it as "non-protein coding lnc-BLM-6:4". The record is from RNAcentral. Lineage: Eukaryota; Metazoa; Chordata; Mammalia; Primates; Hominidae.